UACUGGCAGGAUCAACCAGCUCUUCGACUAGCUUCAGGGUGCUCAGUACUUUUUGAAAGUGGAUAUGUGGUCUGGAUAUCAUCAGCUUCGAGUCAGAGAGAAGGAUAUGCAGAAGACGGCAUUUCGUACUCGCUACGAGCACUAUGAGUUUCUUGUGAUGCCAUUCGGAUUGACGAAUGCGCCAGCAGUGUUCAUGGCUUUGAUGAAUGAGAUCUUCGCUCAGCGCCUCGAUAGCUUCACAGUUGUAUUCAUUGAUGACGUAUUGGUCUACUUGAAGUCCAGAGAGGAGCACGAGCAGUUUUUGAGGACAUCGCUACAGUUGUUCCCCGACAACCAGUUGUAUAGAAAGCUCAGCA
Molecule: unclassified non-coding RNA, 356 nt
Filed under: Litsea tomentosa
Lineage: Eukaryota; Viridiplantae; Streptophyta; Magnoliopsida; Laurales; Lauraceae
Description: partial miscellaneous RNA
Source: RNAcentral